UGAGUACUGUCGUUACACCAUUGGCCGGCCGGCCGAGCGUCGGCGUUUCCCCAUUGGCCGCUGUGGUUCUUUCCGAAAUCGAUUUGGCGCGUGCAGUUUCUUACAGGAAGUGUUGCCAACUUGGCAGCUUUCGUCGCGACAUUUACCGGGUUUUCCUCACCCCUUUUUAGCGGCUUUUUUCCUGCACGAAGGCACCUGGCGACAAACCUCCGCCGCUUUCCGUAGGAGAGGGUCGCCCCGUGUUGCCCCGCGGGCAAGACGUCGGGCUCUCCCUCCGCACGCGCGUCUCUUUCGGUUCACCUGGCGUGAAAGGGCCUCUAACGUUCUCUCUGAGUGAUCGUUUCACAGGUGAAGCUCUGAAAGUGAAGAAGAUAUUGGGGGGUGGCGCACCGAGGGACACCGAUGCCUUUGCUUCAGAGGAAGGAACCCAACUGAUGAACCGUGUCAUUAGAAAGUCGGGUGCAGAAGUCAAACAAUCAUCAAACCACAGAUUUCAUGAAAAGGGUCAUGUGACUUUGGUUGUUUUCCAAAAUAAAAGGGAUACUUUAUGAACAGUCCUUGCAUUUACCUUCAACUAUAGUGUAACUUUGGCACAAAUACUACCUAUGCUGAUUUGUUUAUUGUGAUGGCUGACAUUUUUCAGGCAUUCUCAAGUCUCUGCAAGUUGGUGUUUUUUUUUUUUUUUUUUAAACAGCAGAUUACUGAAACUGACUGUAACAGUCAGCAGGAAUGUAAUGCAGUGGUUCCCAACCUUUUUGGUCUCACAAUAACCCCUAAAAAUGUCUAUAUGAAGCCCUUAGUAACUGGUUGAAUAUGUCUAUGGAUUAUGAUUAGGACAAGCAAAUUGUUAUCAUUUCCCCUGCUUUUUUCUGAAUAAUGUUAGAGGCCUGAAGCUGUAAAAAUGUCCAGGAUUUCCAAGUAAGCAUAAAUGGUUUUGCGUUCUUUUUUUUUUUUUUUUUCCUUACUUACUUGAGUUGUAAAAUAGGUUUAAGUUUCAUAUUCUGCCCUUUAAAGUUGAAAGCACAGCAGCAAAGCUGCCAGGGUUGAGGGUUUGGUUCCCAUUGGUGCAUCUGUGUGUGCUCUGGAUGGUUUGUGGACUCUUGUGUAUGUGUAUGAACAUUUGAGAAAUGUACUGUAAAUGUCAAAAUUGUGAGGAAGACUCUGAAGCGUGUGAGGAAAGAGUUUGAUCAGAGUGGACAGAUACAGAGUUUUCACUAAUUUCUAUGCAUUAAUAACAAUAUUACAACUUGUUUUAUCAUGUUUUAUAGCGCAAAGUGUAGUUCGUGGAUGAAUUUGUAAAUUGCUCAAAUUUUUUUUUUUUCCAGUAUUAUUGGUAAAGUUACAUUAUUUUCACGUGCUUCUUAAUAAAAUACUCAUUGUAAAUUAUGGUAUAAGUAAAAAAUAUAAUAAGCCUUUUAUUAUUCGUGACUCCUUUUUAAAAAUAAACCAGUGUCCAAUUCCAAACCAGUGUUCAAUUCCAAACCUUUGGUGACAGGUGUCAGAAGUUUCCUGUUCUGCCCUCUAAACAUCUCUAAUUGUUUCAUCUUAAUAGAGACACAAAGAGGUGAAACAGUGCAAGUACGUCAGUCAAAUUUGUGUCAAAGAACUCUGUUUACUUCAUUUCUAUCUCAUUAAUCAUCCUACAAACCCCUCAGUUUAAUCCGGGGUCCAUUAGGUGCUCCAAAUGAAGUAAUUAAAUGAUGUUAUGGCCAAUAAGACAUAAAAUGCACAAUAAAGUAUAUAAAAUAUUUAUAAAAGCACUGAUUAAACUUAGUUUUUAUUCAGUGUUUUCUUAGGAUCUUAGUAUCAUCAUUAUUGUUGGAGACACACUGAUCAUGAACCUAAAAUUGUGAAAAAGUGCUUAUUUCUGUUUUUUGUCAGCUUAUCCUUGUUGAUAAAUAAAGACCUAUUUUCCAAUCGCA
This is a long non-coding RNA of Xiphias gladius (swordfish), 1922 nucleotides long. RefSeq lists it as uncharacterized. Lineage: Eukaryota; Metazoa; Chordata; Actinopteri; Istiophoriformes; Xiphiidae. The record is from RefSeq and is a predicted model, not a curated record. The transcript is spliced from 2 exons.